Molecule: long non-coding RNA, 201 nt
Filed under: Myripristis murdjan (pinecone soldierfish)
Lineage: Eukaryota; Metazoa; Chordata; Actinopteri; Holocentriformes; Holocentridae
Description: lncRNA (ENSMMDG00005011699.1)
Source: RNAcentral
UGCCGCUUCUGGCAGCAGCUCUCCUACUGGCCCUGAUCGCUCUCUUAUUUGUUUUGGUACCCUACAUCCACAGGAGGCGUUGCACUUCAAAGUUUAUCAAGACCAUUUGUUGCCAAGGCCCACAGUACUCAGUGGACGAUGAUGGAGGAAACUCUGGCGAGGCUGAGGCCAACGCCGCUAAAGAUAAACCGACACGUCUGC